Molecule: RNA transcript, 673 nt
Organism: Salvia splendens (bonfire salvia)
Lineage: Eukaryota; Viridiplantae; Streptophyta; Magnoliopsida; Lamiales; Lamiaceae
Gene name: alpha-N-acetylglucosaminidase
Exons: 2
Source: RefSeq, a predicted model, not a curated record
AGAAAUGGUUGACAAUCUACUCCCGGAGACGAUAUGGUAAAUCUGUUAAACAAGUCGAGUCUGCAUGGAAAAUUCUUCAUCGCUCUAUUUACAAUUGCACCGAUGGAAUUGCAGACCAUAACACGGAUUAUAUAGUAAAAUUUCCUGAUUGGGAUCCAUCGAUGAAUAGCCAACAUGAUGCACGUGAGUUUGUUAAGAGGCACGGGCUCCUUGGUAUGGAACCAAACAGAAGGUUCCUUCUCCACGAAACAGGCUCUUCCUUGCCUCAGCCCCAUUUAUGGUAUGACAAUCAGGACUCUAUCAGCGCGUUGAAGUUAUUCCUUGAUGCUGGAGACGAGCUUGCUGAAAUUCCGACAUACAGGUUAACUUUUUAUUUGCUCAAUAGGUAUUGCUGAAUCUUGCAUCCUUUGCAGGUAUGAUUUGGUUGACUUAACGAGGUGUAUCUGAAUGCAAUACAUGCUUUCCGGCACAAGGAUGCGCAGGCUUUAAGCAUCCACUUUCUCAAGUUCCUACAACUCAUCAACGACAUCGACAAACUUCUUGCCACACAUGAUAAUUUCCUACUCGGUCCUUGGCCAAUAAAUGCUAGUUGCAACAAGCCAAAAUGAUGAUCUUUCCAUUUAUGUUGUCUGAGCAGUGAUGUUUUUAAUGAGUAUUAAGAGUUUAAUUCUUA